RNAcentral lists this ribosomal RNA (465 nucleotides) under uncultured bacterium. RNAcentral describes it as "bacterial SSU rRNA". It matches the Rfam family "Bacterial small subunit ribosomal RNA", at positions 28 to 508 of the family's 1533-position model. The record is from RNAcentral.
GACAAACGCUGGCGGGGUGCGUGAGACAUGCAAGUCGAACGGGGUUUCACGGGGCUUGCUCUGUGAAACCUAGUGGCGGACGGCUGAGUAACGCGUAGGUGACCUGCCCGGAAGUGGGGAAUAACUGCCCGAAAGGGUGGCUAAUACCGCAAGUGGUCGUCGAAUCGGUUCGCCGACUAAAGGAGAAAUCCGCUUCCGGAGGGGCCUGCGUCCGAUUAGCUAGUUGGUGAGGUAACGGCCCACCAAGGCGACGAUCGGUAGCUGGUCUGAGAGGAUGAUCAGCCAGACUGGGACUGAGAACGGCCCAGACUCCUACGGGAGGCAGCAGUCGGGAAUUUUGCCCAAUGGACGAAAGUCUGAGGCAGCAACUCCGCGUGAGGGAUGAAGGCCUUCGGGUUGUAAACCUCUUUUCUCAGGGAAGAUACAAGACGGUACCUGAGGAAUAAGCCACGGCUAACUACGUGC